This 10420-nucleotide long non-coding RNA is filed under the name Homo sapiens (human). RNAcentral's name for it is "HSALNT0354504". The record is from RNAcentral. Lineage: Eukaryota; Metazoa; Chordata; Mammalia; Primates; Hominidae.
CUCUGGAACUGUCCAGGUCGGCUGAGGAUGGGGGAUCUCCUUCUCCCCAUAAAUCAGUCUGGCCCUCCCCAACCGCGGGCCCCCAGGAGGCUUGUCAGAGCCGCUCCCACGGCCGGCACGCGGGGGAGGGGCCCCAGGGCGCACGAAGGACCCCCCGCAGGCUGCCCGCCGCGCCGAACCCAGGCCGUCUGGCCCGAACGCAGGCCAAGGCGGAGGCGCCCAGGCUGCUUCCCGGCCCCGGAGCCCCACAGCACCAAGCCCGGAUCGCAGGACACGGGCGCGCGCCCGGGCCCGCGCACACUCACCGCCCGCGCCGCCGCCGCCGCCGCCGCCGCCACCCCGGGACGCGGAAGGUCGGGGGCGCCGAGCCCCUAAUGCCGCAGCCUCUGGGCACCGCAGCCCCGCGCCCAGCACGCCUCCCGCGCCGCGCUGCGCCGCCUUCACGGGCCCGCCCCCCGCCCGGCCGGCCCCGCUCGGUCGCCCAACCCCGAGGAGCCGCCCGCCGGACUCGCUUUGGGGCCAAGAGGGAACGCGCCUCCCGGGCCCGCGGCGGAGCGGAGCUGGAGGCCGCGUUUCAUCAGCCGAGCGCCCCCCCGGGACGCCGGAAGGAGCCUCCGCGCGGAGCCGACCACGUGCACGGCAUCUUGGGGCACGGGUUCCCGCCGUCUCCCCACUGUAAAGGAGCGGCUUACUCCAGAGGUCCAGCCCCCUCACACACAAUCACGGAACCCGUGGAUGAGGCAGUAUUUGAGACCAGAAGUUUAUUGGGGACUUGGGUUUGGUUUUUGUUUGGUUGGUUUUGUCGUUGUUUUUAGAGUCGGGGGUUUCGCUGUGUUGCCCAGGCUGCUAUCGGACUCCUGACCUCAAGCGAUCCUCUUGCUUGGCCUCCCAAAGUGUUGGGAUUACAGGCGUGAGCCACCGCACCUGGCCGGGGACUUGUUUCUAAUGGAAAAUUGUGUAUGUGCUGUAUUGUUAAGAGCAUUGGUUUGGGGUCAGACUAGGCUGUGAUUCGGGUCUCUCCACUUCUUAUUAUCGUCUUUGGUAAAUUAUUUAACCUCUUUGUGCCUUCGUUUUCUGUAAAAAGCAGAUAAUUAUAGCUACUUCAUGAGGUCGUGUGAAGAUUUAAUGAGAUAGUGUGUGUGAAAUGUUCACAGCUACCAGACACAUACUCACUCGUGUUCCCAAUUGCUAUACUCACAAGGGCUCACUCCCAUCGCCAUCCUUCGUAAUUUCAAAGGGUCUACGGUUAAAAGUAAGUAACCUUUCCCCUGAGGAAAACACUAACCUUGUGCUUUCCUUGUAUUUUUCCUUAGAGCACAUAUGUACCUGUGCGUGUGUGCGUUUACACAAAGGAAGGCCUUUUCUAUUCUGUUGGGCACUCUGCUUUUUCAUUCGACAAAGUACCUUGGCGCUCAUCGGCCAGAACGCGCCACACUGCCUCAUUUCCUUUUAAGGGGCACAUAAACGUCCCUAUAUUAAUAUUAGGUUUGCGCAAAAGUUAUUGCGUUUUUUUGCCAUUAAAAACAUUACAGGCUGGGCGCGGUGGCUCACGCCUGUAAUCCCAGCACUUUGGGAGGCCGAGGCGGGAGGAUUACCUGAGGUCGGGAGUUCGAGACCAGCCUGAUCAACAUGGGGAAACCCCGUCUCUACUAAAAAUACAAAAUUAGCCGGGCCUGGUGGCGCAUGCCUGUAAUCCCAGCUACUCGGGAGACUGAGGCAGGAGAAUCGCUUGAACCCGGGAGGUGGAGGUUGCGGUGAGCCGAGAUUGCGCCAUUGCACUCCAGCCUGGGCAACAAGAGCAAAACUCCAUCUCAAAAAAAAAAAAAAUUGCAAAAACCGCGAUUAUUUUUGCACCAACCUAAUAGAAAGGGUCUUUGUUUUCUUAACCCUUCUUUCUUAGUGGACAUGAAGGUGAUUUCCAGCCUUGCUGACAGGCCUUGCCCUGAUACACAUAGCAGCAUUGUUGCAUACACGCAAACAUGCCACAGCCUGCAUUUCUUUCUUUCUCUUUCUCUUUCUUUCUUUCUUUCUUUCUCUCUUUCUUUCUUUGUUUCUUUUUCUUUCCUUCUUUCAUUUCUUUCUCUCUUUGUUUCUUUUUCUUUCCUUCUUUCUUUCUUUCUUUCUUUCCUUCCUUCCUUCUUUUUCUUUUUCUUUUUCUUUUUCUUUUUCUUUUUCUUUUUCUGAGACAGGGUCACUCUCUUGCCCAGGCUGGAGUGCAGUGGUGCAGUCACAGCUCACUGCAGCCUCGGCCUCUCCUCUCAGGCUCAAGGGAUCCUCCCACCUCAGCCUCUCUGGUAGAUGGGUCUAAAAGUGCAUGCCACCACUCCCGGCUAAUGUUUUUGUUUUUGUUUUUGUUUUUGUUUUGUAGAUGCAGGGUCUUACUAUGUUUCCCCAGCUAGUCUCAAACUCCUACACUCAAGUGAUCCUCCCACUUCAGCCUCCCAAAGUGCUGGGAUUACACGUGCAAGCCACCAUGCCUGGCCCAUUUCUAUAAGUAGAUGUGCUGAGUCAGAAUGUACAUGCUUGUUUGUUUGUUUGUUUGUUUGUUUGUUUGUUUUUGAGAUGGGGUCUCGCUCUGUCACCCAGGCUGGAGUGCAGUGGUGUGAUCUUGGCUCACUGCAGCCUCCACCUCCCGGGUUCAAGCGAUUCUCCCACCUCAGCCUCCCGAGUAGCUGGGAUUACAGGGGUGUGCCACCACGCCUGGCUAAUUUUUGCAUUUUUAGUAGAGACAGGGGUUUCACCAUGUUGCCCAGGCUGGUCUCGAACUCCCGACCUCAGGUGAUCCACCCGCCUUGGCCUCCCAAAGUACUGGGAUUACAGGGGUAAGCCACCGCACCUGGCCUAUGCAUGCAUUUUUUUAUUUUAACAGAUAUUCCAAAUUGUUGGGAAACUCUCAGACCCCAGAACUUAGCUGGCUGCAUGCUCGGCCAGCCCUCAGAGACAGCAUGAUUGGAGGCAGGAGCAGGAAUUGGCAACCUGAGAAGUAGAUACCACCCAGGCACCCUCAUUCACAAGGAUCCAGGUAGUGGGCUACUAAAAAUGAAGUUCAUUCAUUUAUUUAUCCACAAAUGGACAUUCAGUACCUGCUAAGGGACAGGCAUUGUACUGAGCAAGAGUGAACAAUACACACCAGGUCCCUAUUUAGUGUGCCUGAUUUCCAAACAAAACAAAAACAAAAAACAAUUUAGACGCGUGGGAGCAAGAGCCUCAAGAGAUAUUGAAGCUUUACUCACUGAUGAUAGGAUAUUAAAAGGGAUCCUGCAACAGGUGUGUGGCCUGAUCACCAUCUAUCUAAACCCUACCUCUCCAACAAGGUUGCCCUCCUCCAUGAAGCCAGAUGUGGUCCCCCUGCCCUUUCUGCCAGGCUGCCUUUACUCUUCAUUCUCACUGCUGGUCACUCCAGCGUGAACUUAGUGCUGACACAUCAAUCUCCUAUACCAGGGAGGCACAGAAGACAGGGGCCUUUGGAGCUGGCCCACCAGGCUCUACCACUUACUGGCAUGUGGCAUUGGCAGGCAGCUCAGCUCACUCUCUGAGUUUCAAUACCCUCAUUUAUGAAAGGCAGAUAACUGCUAAUCUGGGAGAUUGCAAGAAUUAAUUGAAGUGAUGAAAUGCUUAGAAGAAAAUGCUCAGUAAAAGUGUGGUGCAUUCUUGGACAACGAGGUAUCAUGUGUUUGCAUCUCUGAAAUGUCACCAGUGUUCAGUCCUGGCAUAGCAAGGAGGAGUGGGUGCUCAUGUAGAAUGGAGAAAGGACAAUAGAAUCCAGUGAAAGUAGGGUGAAAUCCAGUCAGGUGUGCUGGAAAGCAGACUUCAGUAGUGAUCAUCUUGAAUCCACAAGGUCCUUGUGGUGGGCCCAAGCCUCUCCCCACCCACAGCCUACCCUGGACUAAUCUUUACUCACUCUCUCCCAACACGUAAAAACCCUAUGCUCCAAAAAUACAGAGCAUCUCUCAUUUCCUCCUAUAACCCUCUCCCCCUGUUCUCUCACUUCUAGUUCUCAGUGGUUGCCAUUCUCUCCCAUCUGGAAAGUUGUCUCCAAACCCCAGCCCCAUCGUUCUACCUGACGAACCAACUCAUUCUCGGGUUUCAGCUGAAAGGGCCCUUCUUCUGGGAGCCCUGCCCUGUCCUGGGCCUAGGCCAGUUCCCCAUUCUCAUAGUUCAUUCUCAUAGUUACUCUUGUUUGUUUGUUUCUGGCUUUGUGUGUUUUUAUUUUUUGAGACAGGGUCUCACUCUGUCACCCAGGCUGGAGUACAGCAGCGCGAUCUUGGCUCACUGCAGCCCCGACCUCCUAGGCUCAAGUGAUCCUCCCACCUCAGCCUCCCAAGUAUCUGGGACUACAGGCAUGCACCACCAUUCCCGGCUAAUUUUUUAUUUUUAGUAGAGACAGGGUUUUACCAUGUUGCCCAAGCUGGUCUCGAACUCUUGAGCUCAAGCAAUACACCUGCCUCGGCCUCCCAAAGUGCUGGGAUUACAGGUGUAAGCCACUGCGUCCAGCCCUACUCUUGCUUAACCUACACUCAUCCCAUACCCAUCACAUGGUAUUGUCAUUGUUCAGUGUCCCCUUUCCCAAAAAGAGAGUAAGCCUUUUGGGCAUAGGGCUGUUUCUACCCAUGUUCAUAGCUAUCCCCCUGCCCCUAACCCUGUCCUCAGUAAUUGUUAAAUGCAUAUGAAGUAGUGAAUGAAUAAAUAUGAAUGAAAUCAUCAGGGCCUCAACUAUAGAUAAAUCCAAAUAACCACAAACCCCAGCCAAAGCCACCCUUACUCAGCAGUUGCUCCAUCUGUCCUGUUGUGUCUGUAAGGGUUACAGACCCAGGGCUGAGGGCUAGCUGCCAACACUGUUUGAUAACUUGGAUGAAGUAAGAGAAUGAACUUUUUUCCAGCCUGGCAGAACCUUAGUGUUGCAGCAGAUGGUACUGAGAGAACCUCAGAACUGCUGGAUGAGUAAGUGAAAAGGCAAAGAUCAAAAGAUCAAAACUUACAUCUUGGUGUUUUUUGGUUUUUUUUUUUUUCUUUUGGAGCUCAUGUGCCAGUUAUAGAUUCACUAACUUCCUAAACUUUUCAUGGAGACAUACUACUUGGAACAUUGCCAUGGCCUGAACAAAUUGAACCAAAGAAUGCAGUAUUAGUAAUUCAGGCUGGGAACUCAGACAGACCUGGGUUUAAAUCCAGACUUCACCACAAAUUGGCUCUGUGACCCUGUAGCCUCAGUUUCCUAAUCUGCAAAAUAGAAAUGAUAAUACCUACCUCAUAGAGAUGGUAGGAAAAUUAGAUUAUGUAUAUAGAGUACCUUGAAUGCCACCUGGUAUAAAGUUGAUGUUAAUAAAUGUGAGCUAUUUUAGAAAUUAUUUCCGAAAGUGUGUCCCACAGAAUGUUCCGUUGCUAGUGGCUCCAUUACAUUGAUUUCAGCUCCCGGAAGUCACAUCCUCAAAUGACGGACUCCACUAUGGGAGAGGUAGACUAACUGUACGUGAGAGCUUGGGACUAAAUACAUAGCUGUGCUUGGCAGGAGGUGUGCUGGAAGUCAGACAGAUCACAUGCUGUUUGUCAGGAAACCGGGCCUAAGUCAGAAGAAAAAAUCCUCUGAAUUCCUAUCAGGAAGGCCAGCAAUCCCCCCGGGGCAGAUAGGGGUCAGGGAUCUGUUUCUACACUAUGAACAGAAAGACAAGUGCCAGGGUCAGAAGAGUCAGAAGAGGGAGAACUCCCCUCUAGCGGCUGUGGAGAAGAGGCAAGGGCAGUUGAAGGCAAUUGGGCUUUUUUAACUAGGUAACUAGACUAUCGGUCUUUUCAUCUUUAAAAACCACCUAAGAUAAUUGUAGACAACCCAGUCAUGCUCUCUGAACAACCAGCCUUGUUUCUCUCCUAAACUUAUCAUCAACAGUAGCAUCUAGAAUGCUGCCAUCCUGCUUUGUAAGUUAUUUUCUUUUCUUUUUUGUUUUUUGAUACAGGAUCUCAACUUUGUUACCCAGGCAGGAGUGCAGUGGCACAAUCUUGGCUCACUGCAACCUCUGCAUCCCAGGUUCAAGCGAUCCUCCUGCUUUAGCCCCCACAAGUAGCUGAGACUAUAGGCAGCGCCACCACCAUAUCCAACUAAUUUUUUUCUUUUGUAUUUUUUGUAGAGACAGGGUUUCCCCCUGUUGCCCAGUCUGGCAUCGAUCACCUAAGCUCAAGCGAUCCACCCAUCUUGGCCUCCCAAAAUGCUAGGAUUAUAGGUGUCAGCCACUGCACCCGGCCGUAAGUUAUUUUCAAGUAGGAAAAAAAGGAGGCUGCCUGCUCCUUAACUCUUCAAGCCUACCCAUCCCUAUCAAUCAUCCCUUCAAACACAGUAAACUAUGGCUUUAAAUUCACAGCUGACCCAGGAGCCAGUGGCAUCUGAAAUUUUUUUAAAAGCCAGAGAAGAUCUAUGUUGACCUGAUGAUCUUUCACCUUCUAGAUCUCCCUGAACCACUGGCCAAAUCUUUCAAUAAAGAAUGUGCUUAACCUGCCUCUUAAGACCCAUGUAUUUGCACAAGAAGGAAAAAAAAAACCAGAAAAAAAAGCAAAACUAGAGCUGCCUGCCUGUGCUGAAGCUUUUUCAGUAAUUUCAGAGCCACUGAAGUGAUGUGAGAUCAGUUGACAAGAGAAAAACACUCUGAGAUCUGCCAGAAUGACCCUCAAGGGGAGAAAAAUAAUUAAACAGGUGGAAAAACAAGGAACACGCAAGACUGAUCAAAGCGUUUCUUUUCUGUUGAACAGCUUUUGCUGACUUCUGGUACCAUCAGUUUUCUUGAGUACAAUAAAGACCAACAAAUGCAGAAUGUUAGUUACGGGCCUUACUCAAUCAGGCUCAAAGGCUUUACUGGGGUUACAGGAAGCCAAGUACCCAGUCCACUAAUGUCCUGGGAGAAAAGCCUGAAGGCAGAGCAUGGUAGGUUUUCUCUUGCAGCCUGCAGGCUGAUCUGAUGGGACUUCAAUUCUGUCACUUCCUUGCUCUGUGACAUUGAACAUUCUGUAAGCCUCUGGGCCUCAGCUUUCUCAUCCAUGGAAGUGGGAUUACAGUGUCUAACCUGCAGGGCUGCUGUGUGUUUAUAUAUGUGCAUAGAACAUAAUGGCCUUCCCUUGAUAGAAGCAGAGAUUGGACAUGUGGCCUCUGACAAGUUACUUUUUUUUUUCUACAAGUUUCCCUCUCCUCUCCCCCAUUCAGAAAGUGGAAGGGGUAAUUCUUCAGGGAAUUUGUGAGAUGUUACCACAAGGUUACACAAUGGCUUGCUGUAAACUAUUUUAUGUCUUUUUUUUUUUUUUUUUUUUGAGACGGAGUCUUGCUCUGUCACUCAGGCUGGAGUGCAGUGGUGCGAUCUCGAUCUCAGCUCACUGCAACCUCCAACUCCCAGGCUCAAGCGAUUCUCAUGCCUCAGCAUCCUGAGUAGCUGGGACUACAGGUGCACACCACCACGCCCCAGUAAAUUUUUUGUAUUUUCAGUAGAGACAGGGUUUCGCUAUGUUGGCCAGGCUCGUCUCGAACUCCUGGCCUCAAAUGAUCCACCAGCCUCGGCCUCCCAAAGUGCUGGGAUUACAGGUGUGAGCCAUAUUUUAUGCCUUUUAUCAGGGCAUCCUCUGUAGGUUUACAUGACAUAAAAUUGCCCAGAGGGCAACUGAAGAGCAUCACUCUACAAUUUGGGAGAGGUAAAGGGAAAAGAAUCAGAUGGGUAAGAUACAUAAAAGGUAUAUAGCUAUGAAGUUGUUCAAUACUCAGUACACACCGUGGUUAAACACAGAUGCAAAAGCCGGAUUGCAAGUUUGAAUCUUGGCUCCAUCACUGCACAUCCUUGGGCUGGUUCCUUAACCUCUCUCAGUCUCAUAUCCCAUAAAAAAAAAAAAAGAAUUAAAUUAGUCAAUAUAAAUGUAAAAGUUCUUACAACUAGCUGGCACAUAGAAAGCUGUUAGCAGGCAGGGCAUGGUGGCUCACAUCCAUAAUCCCAGCACUUUGGGAGGCCAAGGCAGGCAGAUCACUUGAGGUCAGCAGUUCGAGACCAGCCUGGCCAACAUGGUGAAACCGCAUCUCUACUAAAAAUACAAAAAUUAGCCAGGCGUGGUGGUGGGCGCCUGUAGUCCCAGCUACUCAGGAGGCUGAGGUGGGAGAAUCACUUGAACCUGGGAGCGGGAGGUUGCAGUGAGCCGAAAUCAUGCCACUACACCCCAGCCUGGGCAAUAGAGUAAGGCUCUGUCUCAAAAAAAAAAAAAAAAAGCUGUUAGCAGUUGUAGCAGAAACAUGGUUUUACCCAUGGAAUAUCCAUGGGCUUCCCCUUAUUUCUUAGCCUCCCUUGUGUUGGGUCGGGACACGUGACCUACACCAAUAUGCUGAGAACAAGUGUCAUUUGAGGACUGAAGCAGGUGAGAGCUGAUGCAUGCUUGCCAACUUUUUCUUCCCAUCACUGAAAUUUCAUGGAAACCAUGUGGUGAGAUGGUAGAGACACAAACUGGAAGUAAUCCAAAUCACUGAGCGGCCACAUGGAGAACAGUCACCCUGAAGUCACCCAACUUGUAUCAGAUUUUGUAAGAAAUAAACCUUUGUUACAUUAAGCCACAGAGAUUUCAGAACCUGUCCUGUCCUGACCGAUGCAGCUAUUAUUAAACUUGUAAUCAAGAAUGAUUAGUCUGAGAAAAGGACAGCAAAUUUUAGAAAAUUAGGAAACAUUUGCUGAGUACCUAGAAUGUUCCAGACAUCUUGUAUAGUGCCUUAUCUUCUCUAAUCUGGGGGUGGUUUUUGGCACCCAGGGGACAUUUGACAAUAUCUGGAGAUAUUUUUUGUUUCACAACUGAAGGGGUUCUGCUGGCAUCUAGUGGGUAGAGGCCAGGGACACUGCUACAAAGCCCUAUAAUGUAUUAAGUGUACAAAAGGAAACCCUCCCGGCCAGGCAUGGUGGUUCAUACCUGUAAUCUCUGCACUCUGGAGUCUGAGGCAGGCAGAUGGCUUGAGCCCAAGAGGUUGAAGCUGCAGUGAGCCCUGAUCGUUAUGCCACUGCACUCCAGCCUGGGCGAAAGAGCGUCUCAAAAAAAUAAAACCUCUCUGCUGUUGGUUUCUGUGACUGGCAACGUUGGGUUGCUUGGCUCAGUAUUAAUAGUCAAGCAGUUAAGUAAAUAAGCACAACUCCAUUAAUCCAGAAUAAAAAUACUGUUGGCAACCCAUUUAAACAUUGAGUCUAAGCACUUGAACAUGAGUGUUGCUUCAUGUUUCUCCAGUUUGGGAAAUCUGUAUUUGCAGUUGGCAGAGAUUAGGAGUUGCUACACUUAGCAAUAAGGAGAGUAAAGCCUUAACAAAACUGGAUACAGUUUGUUAAGCCCUCCAAACUGACAUGUUAAGAUGGAGAUGUUUACCAGACAUCCAAGUCAAAAUAUCAAAUAAGCAAUUUAAUGACUACAGCUCAAGAGAAAUGGGUUUGAGAUAGAAAUUUGGGUCUUCAGUAUAGGUAAUAAAGCCUGGAAAUGAAUGUGGUCUCACCAAUAGAAUGUUAGAGAAGUCCAAGAACAAAACCUUGGUGAUAUGGUUUGGCUGUGUCCCCACCCAAGCCUCAACUUCAAUUGCAUCUCCCAGAAUUCCCACGUGUUGUGGGAGGGACCAAGGGGGAGGUAAUUGAAUCAUGGGGGUCAGUCUUUCCUGUGCUGUUCUCAUGAUAGUGAAUAAGUCUCACGAGAUCUGAUAGAUUUAUCAGGCUGCUUUUGCUUCUUCCUCAUUUUCUCUUGCCUCCACCAUGUAAGAAGUGCCUUUCACCUCCUGCCAUGAUUCUGAGACCUCCUCAGCCAUGUGGAACUGUUAAGUCCAAUUAAACCUCUUUUUCUUCCCAGUAUCAGGUAUGUCUUUAUCAGCCGCAUGAAAACGGACUGAUACAGUAUAUUGGUACCAGGAGUGGGGUGCUGCUAAAAAGAUAACCAAAAAUGUGGAAGCAACUUUGGAACUGGGUAACAGGUAGAGGUUGGAACAGUUUGGAGGGCUCAGAGGAAGACAGGAAAAUGUGGGGAAGUUUGGAAUUUCCCAGAGACUUGUUGAAUGGCUUUGCCCAAAAUGCUGAUACCAAUAUGAACAAUAAGGUCCAGGCUGAGGUGGUCUCAGAUGGAGAUGAGGAACUUGUUGGGAACUGGAGCAAAGGUGACUCUUGCUAUGUUUUAGCAAAGAGACUGGCAGCAUUUUACCCCUGCCCUAGUGACUUAUGGAACUUUGAACUUGAGAGAAAUGAUUUAGGGUAUCUGGUAGAAAUUUCUAAGCAGCAAAACAUUCAAGAGGUGACUUGGGUGCUGUUAAAGGCAUUCAGUUUUAUAAGGGAAGCAGAGCAUAAAAGUUUGGAAAAUUUGCAGCCUAUGUGAUAGAAAAUUAAAAUGCAUUUUCUGGGGAGAAAUUCAAGCUGGCUGCGGAAAUUUGCGUAAGUAGCAAGGAGGCUAAUGUUAAUCC